Molecule: long non-coding RNA, 420 nt
Filed under: Rattus norvegicus (Norway rat)
Lineage: Eukaryota; Metazoa; Chordata; Mammalia; Rodentia; Muridae
Description: long non-coding RNA NONRATT009175
Source: RNAcentral
UGGGUCGUCCACACAAAAGGCCCUGUUGGAAAGUGUGACUCAGCACAGAUGCUGGCUUUCCCAGAGACGUCAGUGGACCUCCCCCCUGCCAAUCUUCCCUGGCCUGUAGAGUUUAGCCCCUCCCUGAGGCCAUGUGCAGUUAAGGCAGAAUCACAUACAGCAGGCAGUGUGGAGUCAACGAGCCCAGCUGAGAUGGUCUUUUGCAAGCAGAGAUGGACAGAUUUCCAAAGAUGCAAGUUGUUUGGCUGGGAGGAUAGUCAAGGACAGGUAAGUUCAACACAGUGUUCUUGGUGUCUGUGCUUUAUAUUUUAUACGUGUGGUUUUCCGUCAGAGAAUCUCUGAUCUUGUGAUAUUUCACUUUAUCAGCCACUGAUCCUCAAUGAACGUCACUGUUGGAUCAAUAAAAUCUCUUUUAACACA